This 75-nucleotide antisense RNA is filed under the name Kibdelosporangium phytohabitans. Its description in RNAcentral is "Kibdelosporangium sp. KLBMP 1111 ASpks TB sRNA". It matches the Rfam family "ASpks TB sRNA". The record is from Rfam by way of RNAcentral. Lineage: Bacteria; Bacillati; Actinomycetota; Actinomycetes; Pseudonocardiales; Pseudonocardiaceae.
CUUCAGCGAGCCGAGCCACAGCGGCUGGUCGGCGGGCCUGCCCUGGCCGUAUGUGGCCAGCAGGGCGUUCGCCUC